Phascolarctos cinereus (koala) is the source of this 523-nucleotide long non-coding RNA. RefSeq lists it as uncharacterized. Lineage: Eukaryota; Metazoa; Chordata; Mammalia; Diprotodontia; Phascolarctidae. The record is from RefSeq and is a predicted model, not a curated record.
UUUUUUUAUAUAUUGUGAUUGUCUUCUUCAUGAUUACUAUGUUACCUAAAACUGUCUAGGAGAAGAAAAACACAUCAUAAGGUACAAAGCAUUCAAUAUACACUAGAUGAAUGGUGUAAAAAAAAAUGAUUGACAGUGACUACAACAAUGAAAAUAGAUCAGAAAAAGAAAACUGAAUACCAUAAUUAUGAUGACCAAACUCAGUCCUAGAGAAGAGCUGAUUAAAGGCACCUCUCUGCCUCUUUACAGAAAUGAGGAACAAUAGUUUUAACCUGUGUUUACAAAGGAUGGCUCACAAAGUAUGGGAAGAGGAAAACAAAAGUGAUGUAAAAAAAACCCUAAGAUAUCCAUAAAAAUAAGAUUUUUUUAAAGAAUGUGAUUGAGUGAAUGAAAAUGUGGAAUUCUAUGAAUGAAUGCUAAACUCUUGUUCUCCCCCAGUACAUAAUAGACACUCAAUAAAUGUUUGUGGAUUUGAAUAAGGAAGGAAGGGAAUGGAGGACUGAGUGCUUUCUAAGGACACAGU